AUUCACGCUGGCGGCGUGCAUAACACAUGCAAGUCGAACGAUGAAACUCAUUAGAUUUCUUCGGAAUGAAAAUGAAUGGAUUAGUGGCGAACGGGUGAGUAACGCGUGAGUAACCUGCCUUACACAAGGGGAUAGCCUCUGGAAACGGAGAAUAAUACCCUAUGAAACCAGACAAUCGCAUGAUAAUCUGGUCAAAAUGUUUAGUGGUGUAAGAUGGACUUGCGUCUGAUUAGCCAGUUGGUGAGAUAAAAGCUCACCAAGGCAACGAUCAGUAGCCGGCUUGAGAGAGUGUACGGCCACAUUGGGACUGAGACACGGCCCAGACUCCUACGGGAGGCAGCAGUGGGGAAUUUUGCACAAUGGGGGAAACCCUGAUGCAGCGACGCCGCGUGAUUUAGAAGGCCUUCGGGUUGUAAAAAUCUUUUGUAUAGGAAGAAAAUGACAGUACUAUACGAAUAAGGUCCGGCUAAUUACGUG
Molecule: ribosomal RNA, 477 nt
Filed under: uncultured bacterium
Lineage: Bacteria
Description: partial 16S ribosomal RNA
Rfam family: Bacterial small subunit ribosomal RNA
Source: RNAcentral